Molecule: ribosomal RNA, 162 nt
Filed under: Tricholoma terreum
Lineage: Eukaryota; Fungi; Basidiomycota; Agaricomycetes; Agaricales; Tricholomataceae
Description: 5.8S ribosomal RNA
Rfam family: 5.8S ribosomal RNA
About the family: 5.8S ribosomal RNA (5.8S rRNA) is a component of the large subunit of the eukaryotic ribosome. It is transcribed by RNA polymerase I as part of the 45S precursor that also contains 18S and 28S rRNA. Functionally, it is thought that 5.8S rRNA may be involved in ribosome translocation.
Source: RNAcentral
UAAAUACAACUUUCAACAACGGAUCUCUUGGCUCUCGCAUCGAUGAAGAACGCAGCGAAAUGCGAUAAGUAAUGUGAAUUGCAGAAUUCAGUGAAUCAUCGAAUCUUUGAACGCACCUUGCGCUCCUUGGUAUUCCGAGGAGCAUGCCUGUUUGAGUGUCAU